GUGAGGAAUAUUGCGCAAUGGAGGCAACUCUGACGCAGCCAUGCCGCGUGCAGGAAGAAGGCGCUACGCGUUGUAAACUGCUUUUAACCGGGAAGAAACCCCAGGACGUGUCCUGGGUUGACGGUACCGGAGGAAUAAGCACCGGCUAACUUCGUGCCAGCAGCCGCGGUAAUACGAAGGGUGCAAGCGUUAUCCGGAUUCAUUGGGUUUAAAGGGUGCGUAGGCGGUGCGUUAAGUCAGUGGUGAAAUCCUGCAGCUUAACUGUAGACUUGCCAUUGAUACUGGCGCUCUUGAUUGCGCUUGAAGUGGGCGGAAUGUGCCGUGUAGCGGUGAAAUGCUUAGAUAUGGCACAGAACACCAAUUGCGAAGGCAGCUCACUAAGGCGAUACUGACGCUGAGGCACGAAAGCGUGGGGAUCGAACAGGAUUAGAUACCCCAGUAGUCC
This 445-nucleotide ribosomal RNA is filed under the name uncultured bacterium. RNAcentral's name for it is "partial 16S ribosomal RNA". It matches the Rfam family "Bacterial small subunit ribosomal RNA", at positions 354 to 796 of the family's 1533-position model. The record is from RNAcentral.